UUGUUCAGUAGAGUGUAUGGUGGUGUAUUUUAGGAUAUGCAAACAUAUACAUAUACAUAUACACACAUAUAUGUACACAUAUAUAUG
This 87-nucleotide microRNA precursor is filed under the name Ovis aries (sheep). RNAcentral's name for it is "miRNA (ENSOARG00000025023.1)". Lineage: Eukaryota; Metazoa; Chordata; Mammalia; Artiodactyla; Bovidae. The record is from RNAcentral.